GUGUCAGCAGCCGCGGUAAGACGGAGGGGGCUAGCGUUGUUCGGAAUUACUGGGCGUAAAGCGGGCGUAGGCGGCCGGCUAAGUCGGAUGUGAAAUCCCGGGGCUCAACUCCGGAACUGCAUUCGAUACUGGUCGGCUAGAGUUCGAGAGGGGGAUGCGGAAUUCCGCGUGUAGCAGUGAAAUGCGUAGAUAUGCGGAGGAACACCUGAGGCGAAGGCGGCAUCCUGGAUCGACACUGACGCUGAGGCCCGAAAGCGUGGGGAGCAAACAGGAUUAGAUACCCUGGUAGUCCACGCCCUAAACGAUGUCUACUAGCCGUUGCGGGUAUCGACCCCUGCAGUGGCGCAGCUAACGCGAUAAGUAGACCGCCUGGGGAGUACGGCCGCAAGGUUAAAACUCAAAGGAAUUGACGGGG
This 415-nucleotide ribosomal RNA is filed under the name uncultured prokaryote. Its description in RNAcentral is "bacterial SSU rRNA". It matches the Rfam family "Bacterial small subunit ribosomal RNA", at positions 505 to 918 of the family's 1533-position model. The record is from RNAcentral.